This is a long non-coding RNA of Numida meleagris (helmeted guineafowl), 3099 nucleotides long. The record is from Ensembl. Lineage: Eukaryota; Metazoa; Chordata; Aves; Galliformes; Numididae.
AGGGGGCAGCCCGACAGCCGGGCGGCGUGCGGCGGGGAGGGGGCGGCGGGGGACCCGGCCCUGGGGAGAGCUGCCGAGCCCCAGUCCCGAUGGCACCGCGCCUCCACCCGCAGAGGCUUCGCGCCCCUCGCCCGGCGCCGUCGGAAGGAGGUGAAGCGGGCGGAAAAGCCGAGCGAUAUAAGGUCCUUCCGUUUAGAAGCCAUCGGGACGCUCGCAAGACACGAGGGAUUUGUCUUUCUUUAUAAAAAAAAUAUAUCAAAAAAUGGCCCCGCUCCCCCCGACGCAGGAAAGAUAAUCAUUCAAAGAAAGAAUCACUCAAAGCCAAACCCGUAUUUAAAAAAUAAAGAAAGGAUCCCUUUGCCUUGAGUCGCAAAGAUAAAAGAUUGCCCGUAUUCUCCAUUGAACGUGCCACCGGGGUAUCAAAGGAAGAGGAAUUAGACAGGAUGCAAAAGAGAGUCCGUCGAAGUCGGCUUAAAAAAAGGAGUAGGUUUAAUUUUUUGGAAUCUUUUUUUUUUUUUUUUUUUUUUUUUUUACCUGUCCAUUCGCCUUGGAGGGAGACGCGGCCACCGCUUCCCCGGGCUUCUCGGCGGCGGCUUCGCCCUUCGCAGCGGUCUUGGAGAACUGGGCACCCAUGCUGGCUUAUUCAACAAAGAAACUCAACAGAUCCAAAAGGAAGGGAAACAAAGAGCGUCGAGUCGUCGAGAUACCAGCUCACGGAGAACACCUUCUUGAAGACCGUGCCAGGAUCUCACAGCCAGCACCAAAAGCUAUCCGUCUGUCCACCUGCACCGGGAUCUCACCUGCAUGGGCAUCUGCGUGUUCCCUUUCUGCUGUAGCAACGUGUGGAUCUCAGAGCGGUGGCACUGAAAGAUUGCACUGAGCGAUGGUGGGAGUUCUGGCGGCAUAUGCUUUGCAAAGUCGGUGUAGGCUUUCAACCAUUUCAGUGUUUUGCAACUUUGAAAGAAAGGGAAAAAAGAAGGAAAAGUUUUGUUUGAUGUUAUUCCGGACUCUCACAUCCUCAGGUUGUUCUCCAGAGUGGACAAACAAGAAGCCUGGAAUACCUGCACACUGCCUGUCAGUCCCAGUGCACUGCAACCCGGACAGCUGUGUUCUAACAUAGACCCCUCGAUGUGAGGUGCCACCACCAGGUGUAACCCUGUGGCAAGCCUAUUGCCCAGCAGCCACCGGGCUGCUCGCUGUCACAGCACACCUUUAGGACCCCAGCAAGAACAGAUACGCUGCAGGGGAGAUUCCUCAUUCUUAAUCUUGCACUUCACUGAAGUUCUUGAUCUUUUCAUCUCCUUCCAAAGGGAAAAAAAGAAAGGGGAAAAAAAAACACCAAAAAACUGCCAACAAACUGCCACCCUGAUUGGUGUAUUGCAGAAGGACUAAUGAGAUAUGAGUGUGGAACACACCAUUGUGCUGCAGCAGGUUCCACACACAAAGGUCACAGAAUCACAGCAUAUCCUGAGUUGGAAAGGACCCACAAGACCAUCUUGCAGCAUUUCUCUGGCAGGACCAAUGAUGUACCAGGUGCUUACAGAGAUUUAGUGUCUGAAAAAAAUGAUUCCACUGUAGAUGCAUUUCGGCUUCUACCGCAAGAGCUGUGUCAGCAAGUAGUUAUAUGCCCUAUGUGCCACGGUAACAUUUCUAAGAACAUCAACUGAGGGACAGCUAUGAGAUGCCCAAAAGUGAAUGAGAAGGGGCAGCGCUGGGUUCCUCUCCCUUUGCCAUGCCAAAGGCUGAGGCCUCACGCUUGCCCAUUGCCUGAUCUCCAGUUGCACGCUGUACCCCUGAAGCCAGCUUGUCAGCAGUGCUUCCACACAUGACCCCUCACAGCAUGCUUUGCCCAGGAAUCGUAUCAUGCUCUUCUGUUGGGAAGUGGGAGAGCUGAGGUGGGACUGAUGGGAAGUCAGGAUGGUGCUGCCCAGCAAACCCACUGAGCCACUGUCUCCGAGCUAUGGCUGCUCACCUGUGAUACCGUGUUUGCAAAUACUGAGUGUGUGCCUCACAGCUGCUGUCAGAGCCCCAGAAAGCCCGACCGCGACACCCAGCCCCAGCCAGGGUAAAAGUACUGCAGUCAGCACUUUUAAUUCCAGUUAACUGUUGAAACUUUCGGAAACUUGUCCCAACUUGCUACCUGUAGACAGGACACAAAUGUAUUUUAACAUGUUUGCUGGCAAAUGCGCUAAAAUGCAACACACCCCAUCAACACUGCGGGUCUGAAAUCAUGUUAAUUAAAAGUUUUUCACUGACACUUUUUUUUUUUUUUUUUUUUUUUAAUACACCUUUAUCCUCGUCCAGACAAGCCUUUUAAGGAAAGUGAAUCUCAGGGCGGUUUUGGAAGUGGGAAUGCAGUGUUUACAGGAAUGCUGAUCCGGCACAUGUGUUCGGGUGGUCCUGGCGUUGCCUCUCCUGUCCAGGCUCUCUCUGAGAGGUGCUGGAACCUCAGGGGCAUGGGGAGCUUCCCUCUGUCCAGUCUGGGCAGCAGCUGCACCAAAAUGAUCCUACCAAUAGAUAGCAUUCCCUAUGUGCCCAUCUGCCCUGCAGCCCUCUCCUGGCUUGUAAUUAGGGAGAAACAGUGUAACAUAAGCAUUAGAAAGAAAGCAUCUUGCUUUCCUGUCGGGCUGGGAUAGUGAGGAAACUUCAUCCUUGUUUUAAUUUGUAUACACUGAUAAUGAGAGAACUGGACUGCAUGAGCUGAAAAAUACCAAAAGUUUCAUGUUCUGAAGCUAAAUGCAGAUUUAUAGAAUAGUAGCAUCUUUUCCCAAUUCCAAGAAAUGAGCAUUUAAUCACGUCCUCAUCAGCACUGAGAUUUCUCACUGACCCAUCAUUUUGGUUCCUUCAAGCUUCAUUCACGCUUGGUACGAUGCUAUCAAAGCUUUUAACCUUUACAUCACUCCCAGCCAUUACAAGCCUUUUACUAAUAUUUGCCAAGCUUUUAUUAACUGAAUACAUUGUACAAUGUUUGUUAAAUAGGAUCCAGACCAUUUGAACGUCCGGUGUGCUGUGAAGCUGGAACUUAACACAGCUUGUAUGUUUUAAAGGUAUCGUGCAGUUUGUAUUUCUUAUAUCUAAUAAAAAUGUAUAUAUCUUCCA